This is a long non-coding RNA of Gorilla gorilla gorilla (western lowland gorilla), 1435 nucleotides long. RefSeq lists it as uncharacterized. NCBI's taxonomy places the organism in Eukaryota, Metazoa, Chordata, Mammalia, Primates, Hominidae. The record is from RefSeq and is a predicted model, not a curated record. The transcript is spliced from 3 exons.
GAGAAUUGUUCUGUUGCCCAGGCUGGAGUUCAGUGAUGCAAUCUUGGCUCACUGCAACCUCCACCUCCUGGGCUCAAGCGAUUCUCAUGCCUCAGCCUCCGAAGUAGCUGGGAUUACAGGCACCCGCCACUGCGCCCGGCUAAUUUUUGUAUUUUUUUGGUAGAGAUGGGGUUUCGCCAUGUUGGCCAGGCUGGUCUCAAACUCCUGGCCUCAAGUGAUCCACCCACCUCGGCCACCUCGGCCACCCCGGCCACCCAGAGUGCUGGGAUUACAGGUGUGAGCCACCGCGCCUGGCCUGUUCAAAUACUUUCAACAAGUGCAAAAUGUAUGGGCUUAAAGAAAUAGGGCUGCAUUAUGAUGAAACAGAUACUGUUGAUUCAGUCAGCACAGAGGCUGUGUAUAAGGAGCAGUCAGCUAUUCAAGCACAGCGCACAGCACACACGCUGUUGUGAGAGUUCCGUGCUCAUUUCCUUGUGGAUACACCAGGAACUCACUCUGCUGUGACCCUUCAGUACACCUCAUGUUAGGAUUAGAGACAUCUGGGUCAUAUCAGCUGCCACUGUCAUCUUCUAGUCCCUCAAAGUGUCAGCUAAAGAAACAGGCUCAGAGGAUGUUAUUUGAUUGGACUAUGUUGUAUCUCUGGAGAGCACAGCUGAGAUCAGACUGUGUGUGUGUAACUCCACUAGACUAUGAGUGUGCUUCUCAUAAAGGGACAGGGUCUCAUUAUGUUGCCCAGGCUGGUCUGAAACUCCUGGCCUCAAGUGAUCCUUCUGCCUCAGCUUCCCAAAGUGCGGAGAUUAUAGGCAUGAGCCACGGGACCAGGACAGAAAACAAUUUUAAAAUGACAACCUCCCUGUGAAAUAAAACUUGACUGGCACCUGGGUUUGUAUGACUGUAAGGAUUAAAAAUGGUCAAGACACCCUAUAAAUAGAUUAAGGUUCCAACCUAAGUAGAAACAAUCUGGAAAACAGAAGUGUGUAAGUUUGGACCUCAAUUCUGAAAAUAUACUUUUUAAAAAACCCGAUUUUCCAACUCCCAAACAGAUUGUAGAAACCUUAAGAGUAUUUUUAUGCUGGCUUCCAAAGGUUAAAACAAAAUACACUCAUUUCACCUAUGAAUACUGUCAAAGCAUUAUAAAUGCUUAAUAUUAUUAUAUAUUUUUUUUACAAACAUUAAGCAGUAACUUCUAAAAUAAAAGUAUUUCCCACAUAGGUUAAGGUCUCCUAAGUAUCCUUAUAGAUCAUCAUUUAAGCUGACUAUUCAUUGAGUGACAUAAACUGAAAGCUGCUAGAGUAGAAUGACAUGAGAAAGGAAACACAGCUGUAGAUGGAAUGGAAGGGACACCUGUGGAGCUCCAUGCCAUGGAUCUCAGUCCAAAUCCAAACUUCACAGCUGAGGCCCAGGGGAAGGGAAGACAGGUUUUCCUUACUGAAAA